Pongo pygmaeus (Bornean orangutan) is the source of this 4274-nucleotide long non-coding RNA. RefSeq lists it as uncharacterized. The transcript has 2 exons. NCBI's taxonomy places the organism in Eukaryota, Metazoa, Chordata, Mammalia, Primates, Hominidae. The record is from RefSeq and is a predicted model, not a curated record.
UUGCGGCCUUCAUGGUGUGGCUAAUGAAUUGCAUACCUUAGUAUUUGCUUCUGCAAAUUUGUGCAGCAGUCCACAGUUGUCGAGGAAGGAGGAAGGUGCAGCAUUGAGUGAAGGAGGAACGAUAAAGCAAGCAUAUGUGUAUAGUAAGAGGCUGAAACCUAUCAAGAGAAAUUUUACUAAGAGCCUUUCAGAAAAGCGAUUCCCCUCCAAGAUAUGCAGAUGUACUGCUGAAGACUAUAUUCCCAGGGGAGAAAGGUGUCUUUCCUUGGUGUGAAUUUAUGGCUGCAAAGUUUGGCUUGUUCCUGUGCGGAUGUUUGUGAUGUGACUUACAGGAUAUCAGCAGUCAAGGGACUGAAGUCACAUUGUCAUUUAACUGCAGAAGCGAAGUUAAAUUGUCAUCUUCUUAUAAGGCUGUAAGAAGGUCUAAAUGAGGAUGGACCCAGACUGGACAAAUGAUAUCUACAUGUGGUGAUAUUAAACACGACACUGUGAGGACUUGGAGCAAUGCUGACACUCAAAGGCAUUUCCUUCCUUUUAUUAUUAAAUUUAGAAUGGGAAAAUAGAAGACAACACUUAAUAGAAGCCCUGUUAACCGUAGGCUUCUGAAUGAAUGUUGUCCAUUGUGUUCUGAACAACUAUUCUAAAAGUAGGCCCAUAUAUGAAGGUCUGCAAAUGGAGGACAAAAGAAUCAACUUCUAUUAUUAAUCUCUGUGGGGCAAUAUAUAUCUUGAAUUUUAAGAAAUGAGGUCUUGGACUCAAGCAUUAGGCUGACAUUAUAAUGCAACUCGUUUCUCCCUCUGGGUUCACCUUCUCUCUGAUCUUAUUCUCAGGGAGUCUGGAUGUGCUCCAGUUUUUGUCCAAUGGGGAAAAAGUGUAUUGUCCUGUAUACAAGUGGGUUGGGUGCUAGACAACAGUAACUGCAGCUCCUCAUAAGGAUUUACUUUGCACCUGAGUUCACAUGCAUCCAUCAGGUAAUGUAGCCUUCUUAUUUCACUGCUGUUUAUAACUUGCAUUCUCAUAUCAUCGCACUUUUAGCAAAGUUGCAUAGCACAUUAAAACCUGAUCUCAGCUGUGCUCUGGGGAAUGAAUGAGAAGGCAUGGAUGCAGAGAAGACAAUCAUAUUCUCCUGAUUUUUCUCUCAGCUCUCUGGCAGUUCCUUCUGCAUCCUCUUUACCGGGUCCUUGUCAUCUCCCUGGCUUUACACAAGUUAAGCUCAUAAACUUCUCAUUUUAUCUGCAUUCCCUUCCUUUCUUGGUAAUCUCACAGAGUCUCAUGCCUUUAAAUACAGUCUUCUCAAUUUCUAUGGAUGAUAAGUCCAAUCUUAAAACUGCAGCAAAAAUAUUGAAAUCAAACAUACUCUUUCCCCCCUUUCAAGUUAUUUAUCUGAUCUAUCGGUAAAUUCCAUUGGUUUUUACCUUCAAAGUAUAUUAUAUUAUUAUGCAGUUACUCCUCACUACCUUCACUGUUAUCAAUGGAGUUUAUGUAACCAUCUUCUCUUCCUUUAUUAGUCCAGUAGUUUCUCUGUUUUGCCUUUGUUCUCUUCUUUAUAUUCUCACAGAGAAGCUAGAUUGAUCUUCUUAAGGCAAAACAACACAUAUAUCACUUCUCUGAUGAAAAUGGCUCCAUCUCAUCUAGAUAAAAGCCAAAGUCCCCCAUGGCUGGCAAAGCCUUGUGUAAUCUGGAUCCCGAUUUAUCUGACCUCAUCUUUCUCUACUCAUUCCCAGCUCAUUUUGCUCCAACCACACACACUUCUUUGCUAUUCCUUGAACAUAACACAUGUGCUUUGGACACAGAGCCUUUGUACACAGGUUUUCCAUCCAGCUACCAAGAUACUUUACGAGCCUCACUCCCCAUCUUUCUAAAGGAUUUUACUUAAAUCUCAUCUCUGUUUGGUUCUCCUCAGUCACCUUAUUUGAAUUUGCAACUUCUCUUAAUCCCAACCCCCCAAUUACCUUUCCUUCUUUUAAAUUUUCUCUUUAUUACUUGUUGCUGGGUAAGAUGAUACCUGUUUUACUUAGUUUUUAAAUUUAUUUAUUGUCAUCUCCCACACCUUCUCCAAUGUCAACAGAAUGUGAACUCCAGAAAAUAAUGCAUGUAUUUCUGUUUUAUUCUCUGUUGCAGCCCCAGGGCUUGGAACAGUACAAGUACCAUAGUAGGAGAUGAAUAAAUAUUUGUAAAUUUAAUAAAUGAAUGAGUGAGUGAAACAAUCAGCCAACUGACCAAUCAAUCAAUUUCCUCUCAGAUUAUGAUGUUGGCCAGAUGAGCCCUCUGGUGAGAAUUCUGGUUUGAGAAUUAAUAGACCUGUAAGGUAAAUAGUCUAAGUCAAAUGAUAAGAAAAUAGCAAGAGCAAAGUAAUGAAAAUGGAUGCCAUGUGACAAACCCCUAGGGACUCCAGAAAUAAUGACGUUAAAGAUGAAUCCUCAAAAGAGAGCUGAAGCCCCUGUAAGUACAGGUGGUACUCAUAAGAUAGCGAAAUUUCAUUUGCACAUUAAUAUGACAUCCUUUGUAAACAUAGGAUGGUGAAAACUGUGGUCACUUAGUGCUUAGUUUUAUAUUUGUGUGCAUGUUUAAGUAUAUUUGUAUAUGCCAAAAUAUGAGUGUACAUGUGUAUUUGUUGAAUGUUAAAACGUUAACAGUGAUCAUAUGCCAUAUCUGGGGGUGCAAUUAUGAGCAUAUUUUAAUUUUUUUAGUUUAAAUUUUUGCUAUAGCUUGCAUAAUUUACUUUUGAUGAUUCAGCAUGCACAGUGUGAAAUUAUGUGUUUUUUACCCAUGUUUUAAUCAGGAAAUUAGGGUGUUUGGAUUUAGGAUGGUUCUAAUCAGGAGGAACAUAACUUCUGAAGGGGCCAUUCUGAGUAGUUUAUUUGAUGUAAUUCCAUCCACCAUCCCACUUUCUAAUUAGCAUGACAAAUGUCAAAACAGGAUUUUUGUUGUUGAAAUGAUGAGUUAUUACUUAGCAUGAUGAAUUUUAUAAAUGGGCUGUUUUGGUGACAUUAAGAACAUUUUACAUACAGAGUUAGGUAAAAAAUAUUUUGUAGGCAAUUCCACCUAUGCAUGGAUGGAAACUAAAGUUUCUAUGUCCAACCUGUACGAGUAAUGCUACAGGCUGAAUCCCUAAAUGGUCCCGAAGCCAGCCAAGUAAUCUUGGGGAUUCUGACUGCUUGAUCCCACCCAGCCUUUAAGGCACACACAUCUUUUCUCUGGAUUUGGGUAUUUUCCCUAACUGAACAAUUAAUGUGAUCUAGUGACCAGAAAAGUUAAAAAGAUAAAAACCUGGAACUUUCUCCAGUUUACAGAAUGGGCUAUAAGACCACCUUUUAUGCCAAAUUGGUAAUAAAUACUUAGUUAGCAAAUCCCUUUUUGACUGGCAGAAUUGUGUUUCUGUGUGGCAUUGCUUAUAAUUUGGUAGGUAGAGGAGUAGCUAGCAUUCCUCCAUUGAAGACUUCUUCAGCAAGUAGCAACCUCUACCCAAAGGAAUCUAAGUCAGUUCUGGCUUAAGGCUGAUUGUAACAAACACCAUGUUUAGAAAGGAAGUGAUACAUAAAAUUCUCAUGCUAGCCAUUCACUCUCAAUAUAAAAUAAAAUUAACUUGCUGCAAGAAAUUAUUUAGGUAGCUUUUGAAAGAUAUCCAUAGUACAGGUGAGGGAGGAGGACUUUGAGUGGCUUUUCUUUGCCCAUACUGAUGCCAUUGUAGCACAUCAAUUCUUCUGCAUGAUUUGGAGAUCAAAGCAUAUGAGAAGUGUAAAAAGAACGCAUUUAAUUAAAGAUAUUAAAAAUCAUGUUAUGUCUUAAAUUCAAUUUCUUAUGUGCUAUUUCUCAGAGAACAUUAUAUCAUUUGCCUUUAAUUUCAGCCGAAAACCUAAUGCAAAAUAUAACCCGCAAUUACUGUGUAUCUAUUUAUCCAAAGACAGAUAUGGAACUGUUUCUGCUCUGAAGCUUUCUCAUUGUGCUUUGAUUUGUAUCCCUCUUUAACACAUCAUGAAACUGGAAACAUGAGUACUGUGAGCUGCAUCUUUUAUUAGUUAGGCUCUGGAUCAGUCCCUUCAAUAGAAGUAAAAUGGUAAUCUGUAUCCACUCUAACUUCAGAAGAAUUGAAUAUUAGCUCCAAUGUUUCCUUUUGCAUUCAGCAAAUACUUUAUUUAUUCUUUUGUCUACUUUAUAUAUUGAUCAUCACUUUUUUAUGUAAAUGAAUGUUUCUAUGUCCUCAUUCUUCUUUUAUUGCCUCUCUCGGGUAAUUUGAUGUGAUAGGUACUUGAUUAAAAUCAUGUUUCUACCCA